Molecule: long non-coding RNA, 2515 nt
Organism: Dreissena polymorpha
Lineage: Eukaryota; Metazoa; Mollusca; Bivalvia; Myida; Dreissenidae
Exons: 3
Source: RefSeq, a predicted model, not a curated record
GUGGAACAUUCGCGACAGCGCUGAUCUCAUGUUAUCUGUGAUAAUCUCUCCCGCUUAUAACUUUACGAAAGCACUCUGGACGAAAGUUAUUUCAGUGUCUUCAGAGAAUACAACGGAACCCUCGACUCGUGAUUAUGAGUCCAACACACCGGAACCGGAAUUGGUUAAGAUCGGGAUCCUUAGCGCUCUUAUUGUCCUCAUCGCGGGUUUCGCCCUCGUGAUUGUCGUCUGGCAGUGCAAACGAUUCCUAUGGGACAUGGAUCCAAACCGGGACGAUACGGCGUUUGACGGUCUACAUGUGUCCGUUGAACACGGGAAGAUUUCUUUUAGUGCUCGAGAACAACAAACUUCUUUCGGUGUGCAUCCAUGAGGAACUGGGCUGUUUUACAAUGUGCAUCCAUGAGGAACUUGGCUGUUUUACAAUGUGCAUCUAUGAGGAACUGAGCUGUUUUACGAUGUGCACCCAUAAUGAACUGAGCUGUUUUAUGAUGUACAUUCAUGAGGAACUGAGCUGUUUAUCGAUGUGCAUUCAUGAGGAACUGAGCUGUUUUACCAUGGGUGGCGAAAUCAAAUGUCCGAGUUGCCCGAGUCGUACAUUUGCUUGUCCGGGCAACUGUUUUUUUUUCAUUAAGUUGUCCGUGGACAACCAGUCGGGUUGAUAAAUACAAAAAAAAAUAGAUUGUAUUAAAGCCGUUAUUAAAAUUUACAAAACCGGAUGUUGGCACCCGAUAACAUUGUCAGUGCUAUUUGCGGAGCAAUCAAGCUAAAAUAUGGGCACUCUCCUGCACAAUGGUCUCGCUUAUUCUACAAGCAUGAUAAGAGACCAGGAGGCUAGCAUGCCGCAUUUUCAACAUUCGGCCCGUCUGUUUAAUAGGCAGUGUACAGACUGGUUUGCUCGUUUAUUCCGUAAAUGUUGAACUUUCGUCUUAAAUUUUAAAAUGCAUUAUUAAUACCAAAAGGGAGGUAUAAAACCCGAAAAUUUCCGGAAAACCCAGAGUGUGUCACAUCACUCCUACCUAACUAAAUUUCUAGACUUACAAACGUCGAGACGUUGGGACGUGAUAAGCCGAAAGCCGAGUUGGAUUACGUACAGUUCCGUUGAUUGGGUGAAGUGUUCCGUUUAAAUCAACUACAAUUUAUAUUAAAGUUGAACAAAGACGGUAAAAUAGUCAUUAUGUAUAAAAAACAUAUAUAUAAUGUAUAAUUUGAACAUUACAUUUCCUGGCUUAUUUCAUCUGCAAAAAUGAAAAUUAUAUAUUGAAAUACUGUUUUAAAACACCGCUGUGGUUUUAACCGUGUUGAAUGGUAGAUCUCACUACAUACAAUUACGACUGACUUAUAACAUCAUGACGUAUUUUCAGGUGAGCUUAUGAAGCAAUAUCAUACAUUUAAAGCAAAAUCACACUACUUCCUGAAGUACAACUUACUCUCGUGUGCUUGAUUGGUUUCCAAUUUUAUAAUUCAAAACCGAAACUUAAAAAGACAGGAAGAAAAUUCAUUCAAAUUCAACUGACAUGGAUGUAAAGACCGGAAUAUUAUGUUGAGAUAAAACACCAAAUAACACGUAAACAGGACAAAAUAGUUUUCCCUGACAAAGAAGAACACUUGAACAAUUGAUCAUAUGAUACGACACAAUUGGACAGGAAGAAAAUUCAUUCAAAUCCAACUGACAUGGAUGUAAAGACCGGAAGAUUAUGUUGAGAUAAAACACCAUACGUAAACAGGAAAAAAAUAGAUUUUCCUCACAAAGAAGAUAACUUAAACAUUUGAUCAUAUGAUACGACAUAAUUGGACGCGUUUGGCCAAUCCGAAAGCAAUUGCGUAAAUAUUGAGCGGAGAUAUUUGGUAAACAAAAUAAUGAUGUAAGCAAUAUAUUUCGGCGUUUUACUCACAAUAUCCCGCUUAUAAAUCCGGUUGUGUACGCAAAUAUAAACACGUGUAAUGUUUCAAGACACUUCAUUUUUAUAUUUUGUUAAUCAGUGCUUGCUAGUCUUCCUAAUGCUUCAUUUCUUAUCAAUGUCGUUGAUACCAUUUUAAAAAUACUGUAGUACGUGUUAACCAUGUAACCAACAACCCAAUACGUUAUAACAUAAUACUACUGUUCUGAAUGGUUUGAUAUAAUGCAACCUUUGUGUCAUAAACGCCUCAUGAUGUUGUGAAUAACCGGGAUGACUGACAAAAAAGGUCAAAACACAAAAUGCAUUUGCAAAAUGUGAACUCCGUUAGCCUGAUGACAUGUUAUCAACAUUUAUGCUGGUUUUGCAAGUCUAUUAUUUUAAUAAAAUACUUUUAAAUACUGUUGCUCAAAAAGAUACAGGGCAGCGCAUACAUACAAGUAGUAUUUAAAGACGAAUGUGCUGUUCAUGUAUAACUUGAUUUGAAUAAAUAUAAGAUAAUAAAAAUGUCAAAACAAAAGCUAAAUGGAAGAAGUUCAGGAUUUUUUUCGUUAUUUCAUUUAAAAACGUGUACUUUCGUAGUAAUGGCAGUCAACACAGUUUUGAAAUUAACCUGGAGA